RNAcentral lists this non-coding RNA (48 nucleotides) under Trichobilharzia regenti. Lineage: Eukaryota; Metazoa; Platyhelminthes; Trematoda; Strigeidida; Schistosomatidae. The record is from RNAcentral.
AUUCAACUGACGAGUCCCAAAUAGGACGAAAUGCGCGUUGUCCUGGAU